This 1538-nucleotide long non-coding RNA is filed under the name Citrus maxima (pomelo). Its description in RNAcentral is "long non-coding RNA (CMAX_LNC002561)". The record is from RNAcentral. Lineage: Eukaryota; Viridiplantae; Streptophyta; Magnoliopsida; Sapindales; Rutaceae.
CUGGCUGAAUUACACAAUUUACCCCAAAUUCUUUUUAAGACUCUUGAACAAGUACUAAUGCAACAUCAAUUUAUGAAAAAGCAGGAAAGAAAGCUUAAUAACAUAUGGUAAAAAAAAAACAAAACCUCUGUUGAUGGGUACAACUGCUCCACUUAAUUCUUACCCUCUGUUGAAAAUUUGAGGGAUAUUAUUAACAAAGAAACAGGUACAUAGAUCUUAUAAAUCUAAUAAUAAAAGAAUUUUCUGCUGCUACUUUUUGGACUUCGGAGCACAACCAUUUUGACUCAUUAAAAAAAUAAUCAUCAUUAGCAAAAGCCCAAAACCCCCCAUGGCUACAGGAAAAAUCUAGAAAAGGACAAAAGAAGAAGCUUAACUGUAAGAUUAAAAUCUUAGUUUGGAUUAAAUGGUUUGUUUCUCUCACGGGAUAAACACAGAGAUUUAAAAAACAAAAAGAAAAAAAGAACUGGGCUCAUACUUCAUUUCAUAGAAAUUAAGCGCGUAUAAUUUACAACCAUUCGUAAUUAAUUACCAAACAGAUUAAGAACAAGAAGUUACAUACAACAUACAACCUAUUAUAAAUUUUUAUGAAUAUAGAUAGAGAUUCAUUUGCAUCUGUAAUCAAGAAUUGAACUGUAUGUGUUUAUUAAUACACGCGUGAUCAAUAGAACAGAGUAUAAAAAUGGCCAAAAUAUAUAUAUAUACACAUAGGACUGCUAAACUAAUGAAUAAUAUAAUGGAAAAUGGCAUUAAAUGCAGUGUGUGUAUUCGUGGAGAUCCAAUAAUUAAGGAUGCAAUAAUUAUAAAUAAAAAUUCAACGUUACUCUGACUCAUGGCGAUAAUAAUACCGGAAACAGAUGCAUCAGUAAUAAAAAUUUUAAAAAAAGUCCUUUUUUUUUUAACGAAAACUUAUUGCAAUUCUGAGAAAAUAAAGCAAAACGAAGAAAUUCCGACUUUUAGUGUUCAUAUUGUAAUUUUCUGCGUAUAAAUUUAUUUCGUGCGUGUAUCUAAUCUUUCUCUUUGCGUACGGACAAACACAAGAAACAAUUAAAAAUGGGGGGGGGGGGGGGGGAGCCGGAAGGGGAAACGAACAUGCAAAAGCUUUUUUGUUGCAAUUUUUGCAUGAAUAUGUAACAACAUAAGACAAAACGAGAGAGACAAGUCGAUUUGAUGAAAUAAAUAUCUAAAAGGGGUGGAAAAAUAAAGGAGAGAUAAACUGACCUGUUGAUUUUCUUUUGUGUGAUUGUUUGGCUGUUAUUUACUCGAGAAAAUGUAAGAAAGAAAGUGAGGGAAAAAACAAACAGAGACGGAGAGGAGAGGGAGGAAACAAAUUGAAUGGUGAGUUGUGUUGGGAGCGGGGUUGAUGAUAAUACAUAUCUAUGUGCAUGCCUGUGUAUAUAUAUAACGCAACGAACCGAAAUAUUCUGACGGUAUAUUCCCCUGCGUUUUCGCGCCAGACUCCUCUCUAUUUUUCUUCCCUUUUUUCACACUCUAAGCAGUUGGCAUUAGCUUUCCCCUAUUUCCUAUUUCAAGAUUCAGCC